This 71-nucleotide transfer RNA is filed under the name chicken gut metagenome. It matches the Rfam family "tRNA". From Rfam's summary of the family: Transfer RNA (tRNA) molecules are approximately 80 nucleotides in length. Their secondary structure includes four short double-helical elements and three loops (D, anti-codon, and T loops). The record is from RNAcentral.
GCGAUGUGGCCCAGCGGUUAGAGCGAUCGGUUCAUACCCGAUAGAUCGGUGGUUCGAUUCCACCCAUCGCC